AACAUCAGCUGUUGGACUCAGAAACCUGCUCCAUUUUCCUACAGAGAAAUACAGCAUCUCCCUGAGCAUCCCUGUGAAAGUUGAAUUUUGCUGAGGAGACAAGGUUGCCUCUGAUGGAGCAUGAAGCAUCACUGUAAGCUGCCAUUGCUAGGGAGGUGGUGUGCAGCGGCUGUGACCUCUGUCAGGACAGCUGGGAGACAGCGUCACCGGGGUGUGGCUGAACUUCUCCGGGAGAAGUAGACCUAACACAAACAGAGGCUCUGAACAACUCGGGAACUGGUACAAAGAAAACAAAACCCUCUGUACUUGGGGCCCUGGGUUGCACUCUACACCCAGGACAUUGUCCUUCCAGACUCUCAGCGAAAGUGACUGAAAAUCGCUUGUGAUAUGAAUGAGAAGGGACCCAUAGACUCAUGCAUUUGAAUGUUUGUGCUCCAGUUGGUGGAACAUCUUUGAGAAGGAUUAGGAGGGAUGGCGUGUCUGGUUAGUCAGGCCUAGUCAAAAUUUGCAUCCUUUUGCUCUCCAUGGAGGCCCAGUCAUGUCAUGAACGGAGCUGAUCCUGCCUAGUCAACACAUGGAGAAGGGCCUGGCUGCCCAGUGCCCUGCAAAGCCACAAACCACAGCAGUUCUCCAAACCAGAGUCAUCUGUAGUUUGAAUGGGAAGGUGUCUCCAUGGGCUCACACGUUUGAACACAUGAAGGCAGUAUAACUAUAGAGAAAGCUGAAUAACCACCAUUUUUGCUGCGGAAAUUUGGAGAGCGAUUAGGAAGUGGAGUCCCACUAAAGGCCACUGAGGGAGAGCCUUGGGAUUUUUAUGAUGUGGCCCCGGUUCCUAUUUAUUUUCUGCUUCCUAGGAUCCAGUCAUGUGACCAGCCAGCCUCCGACACUUGCCACUACAUUUUCCCUGCUUGCUGCUGUGUCUUCCUCACCGUGAUGGACUGCAUCCCUCUGUCACCGUAAGCCCAACAGACUUUGGCCUCUAUGAUAAUGCUUUUUCAUGGUAUUUUAUCUGGACAAGAAGAAAGUGGCUAAGAUGGCUGUUCUUAAGAAUGUUUUCUUGUAGUUAAGACACAUUUCCUCCUAGGAAGCUGUAGAUUGGAUGAGCCCAUCUAACCCAAGCUUUGGAGAAACCUAACAUCACUGACUGCUUACUCUCAGAGGAUGAAUCUUGGUCCCUUGCUUCAAAAUUAAAUAUACAAGUGUUAGCUAGAGGAAGAAAAGAAAUGUCAUAAAAAGCCAAAGCCUCAUGCUCUUAGGCAAACCUGUGACCCAUGGCUGCAGCAAACUUCUGGUGUUUCCUUACAUAUCUGGGCUAGAUCUGAUCACUACUACACCAACUCGUUAUUGGAAGAUGUUCACCUUUUUUGUGCCAUGGGGAUUUGAUUACAUGAUAUGAUUUUUACAGUA
Molecule: long non-coding RNA, 1407 nt
Organism: Apodemus sylvaticus (European woodmouse)
Lineage: Eukaryota; Metazoa; Chordata; Mammalia; Rodentia; Muridae
Exons: 3
Source: RefSeq, a predicted model, not a curated record